Molecule: ribosomal RNA, 478 nt
Filed under: uncultured bacterium
Lineage: Bacteria
Description: partial 16S ribosomal RNA
Rfam family: Bacterial small subunit ribosomal RNA
Source: RNAcentral
GAUGAACGCUGGCGGCGUGCUUAACACAUGCAAGUCGAACGAGAAGUGAAGACGGAAACCUUCGGGCGGAAGGCUUUAUUUCGAGUGGCGGACGGGUGAGUAACGCGUGGGUAACCUGCCUCAUACGGGGGGAUAACAGUUGGAAACGACUGUUAAUACCGCAUAAGACCACAGCACCGCAUGGUGCGGGGGUAAAAACUCCGGUGGUAUGAGAUGGACCCGCGUUCGAUUAGCCAGUUGGCGGGGUAACGGCCCACCAAAGCGACGAUCGAUAGCCGAUCUGAGAGGAUGACCGGCCACAUUGGGACUGAGACACGGCCCAAACUCCUACGGGAGGCAGCAGUGGGGAAUAUUGCACAAUGGGGGAAACCCUGAUGCAGCGACGCCGCGUGAGUGAAGAAGUAUUUCGGUAUGUAAAGCUCUAUCAGCAGGGAAGAAAAUGACGGUACCUGAGUAAGAAGCCCCGGCUAACUACGUG